ACCUCUUUUACCUUCCACGAUCUCUCUCUCUCUCUCUCUCUCUCAACCAACCGUACGAGCGCCAUUCAUUGAUCUUGACAGCGUUAAGAGGCGGGAGAAGCCCGUCACUGUGAUUUGCCGUUGAUUGAUCUUGGUUAUCAGCCACUUGCUCCACCAUUGCUUUGGUCAUCGAUUGACUUGAAAUCAAACAGGUAUACAGACCCACGGCUUUGUUUAGAUAGUUCUCCAACUCUUUCCUAAUUUUUUCAUUGUUGAAUUUAUGGGUGCUAUUUACAUGGUUCAAAAUUUGUUUCAGUGUUGAUUGAGUUGCUUGCAGAGGUCUCAUCUGGAUUGUCAAGAUCAAUUAUCUAGGUUGGGCUUAUUGUUGAUCUGUUUAAUGCGCGCUUGUGUUCUCCCGAUUGCCGCCGACAACUCCACCUCUCUCUACCAGUUCAAUGUGUUCAACUCUUGCUGGUCGUGAGUUAGCUGCAGUUUGAUAGGUCACAUACCAAGACUAGUUUAGACUGGCUGCGAUGAGGCAUUGGUGACAUAACAACUCAAAUGUAGGGAAACUGGGGCAACAUAUUAUGCAGGAACAUGUUGUUGGAGCAAUGCUCUUUGAGUAAAUACUGACUGAAAAUGUGUCAUCUCGUUUUAUUGGAGCGUACAUAUCAUGUGUUGAUUGUACAGGGAGAAAGGAAAGAAGAAGUUACUGAGAAGUUGUCAUCACAGGUCUUAGUGCGUCUUCCAGAAUUUUUCGGUUGAAGGAAUGCAAAAAUUUUAGGUUGAGGGAAGCUGGAUUAACUCGGGGAAUCAUUAUGUAGGGCAAUUUAUUUGUAUUUCGUAUGUACUUUUCGUGUCGAAAGAUAACUUGAAGACGUGUAUU
Long non-coding RNA from Rhododendron vialii, 865 nucleotides. RefSeq lists it as uncharacterized. The transcript is spliced from 5 exons. The record is from RefSeq and is a predicted model, not a curated record. Lineage: Eukaryota; Viridiplantae; Streptophyta; Magnoliopsida; Ericales; Ericaceae.